This 219-nucleotide long non-coding RNA is filed under the name Pan troglodytes (chimpanzee). Its description in RNAcentral is "lincRNA". The record is from RNAcentral. Lineage: Eukaryota; Metazoa; Chordata; Mammalia; Primates; Hominidae.
GCCUCCCAAAGUGCUGGGAUUACAGGUGUGAACCACUGAGCCUGGCCUCCUUAUUCUUAAUGACCACUUGGAAGCCAAUGACAGAAUCUGCCACCACAACUUCCAGCCUCCAGGGGACAGACACCCACUCUCAAGGAUUUCUUCCCAGGGACAUGACCCUAUGCCAGCCCACACCACAGUCUUGGUCAUCACUCCUGUUUCCAUGGUGUUAACAGCAGC